Molecule: ribosomal RNA, 464 nt
Filed under: uncultured bacterium
Lineage: Bacteria
Description: partial 16S ribosomal RNA
Rfam family: Bacterial small subunit ribosomal RNA
Source: RNAcentral
GACGAACGCUGGCGGCGUGCCUAACACAUGCAAGUCGAGCGAAUGAAGUUCCUUCGGGAAUGGAUUUAGCGGCGGACGGGUGAGUAACACGUGGGCAACAUGCCUCAUAGAGGGGAAUAGCCUCCCGAAAAGGAGAUUAAUACCGCAUAAGAUUGUAGUACCGCAUGAUACAGCAAUUAAAGGAGCAAUCCGCUAUGAGAUGGGCCCGCGGCGCAUUAGCUAGUUGGGGAGGUAAUGGCUCACCAAGGCGACGAGGCGUAGCCGACCUGAGAGGGUGAUCGGCCACAUUUGGACUGCGGCCCGGCCCAGACUGCUACGGGGCGCAGCAGUGGAGAGUACUGCACGAUGAGGGAAGCCGUGAUGCAGCCACGCCGCGUGAGUGAUGCCGGCCUUCGGGUUGUAAAGCUCUGUCUUCAGGGACGAUAAUGACGGUACCUGAGGAGGAAGCCACGGCUAACUACGUG